ACGGAUCUCUUGGUUCUGGCAUCGAUGAAGAACGCAGCGAAAUGCGAUAAGUAGUGUGAAUUGCAGAAAUUCAGUGAAUCAUCGAAUUCUUUGAACGCACAUUGCGCCCCUUGGUAUUCCAUGGGGGCAUGCCUGUUCGAGCGUCAUUUG
This 150-nucleotide ribosomal RNA is filed under the name Neodidymelliopsis farokhinejadii. Its description in RNAcentral is "5.8S ribosomal RNA". It matches the Rfam family "5.8S ribosomal RNA". Rfam says of the family: 5.8S ribosomal RNA (5.8S rRNA) is a component of the large subunit of the eukaryotic ribosome. It is transcribed by RNA polymerase I as part of the 45S precursor that also contains 18S and 28S rRNA. Functionally, it is thought that 5.8S rRNA may be involved in ribosome translocation. The record is from RNAcentral. Lineage: Eukaryota; Fungi; Ascomycota; Dothideomycetes; Pleosporales; Didymellaceae.